CAGUAGCCACGGUAAUACGUAUGUCACGAGCGUUAUCCGGAUUUAUUGGGCGUAAAGCGCGUCUAGGUGGUUAUAUAAGUCUGAUGUGAAAGCCCACGGCUCAACCGUGGAGGGUCAUUGGAAACUGUUAAACUUGAGUGCAGGAGAGAAAAGUGGAAUUCCUAGUGUAGCGGUGAAAUGCGUAGAGAUUAGGAGGAACACCAGUGGCGAAGGCGGCUUUUUGGCCUGUAACUGACACUGAGGCGCGAAAGCGUGGGGAGCAAACAGGAUUAGAUACCCCCGUAGUCCCUGUCUCUUAUAC
Molecule: ribosomal RNA, 301 nt
Filed under: uncultured bacterium
Lineage: Bacteria
Description: partial 16S ribosomal RNA
Rfam family: Bacterial small subunit ribosomal RNA
Source: RNAcentral